CGCGGCCUAUCAGCUUGUUGGUGGGGUAACGGCCUACCAAGGCAUCGACGGGUAGCUGGUCUGAGAGGACGAUCAGCCACACUGGGACUGAGACACGGCCCAGACUCCUACGGGAGGCAGCAGUGGGGAAUAUUGCGCAAUGGGCGAAAGCCUGACGCAGCAACGCCGCGUGCGGGAAGAAGGCCCUAGGGUUGUAAACCGCUUUCGACAGGGACGAAAAUGACGGUACCUGUAGAAGAAGGUCCGGCCAACUACGUGCCAGCAGCCGCGGUAACACGUAGGGACUGAGCGUUGUCCGGAUUUAUUGGGCGUAAAGAGCUCGUAGGCGGCUAAGUAAGUCGGCUGUGAAAGCUCCAGGCUCAACCUGGAGAGGCCAGUCGAUACUGCUUUGGCUAGAGUCCGGUAGGGGAGCGUGGAAUUCCUGGUGUAGCGGUGGAAUGCGCAGAUAUCAGGAGGAACACCAGCGGCGAAGGCGGCGCUCUGGGCCGGAACUGACGCUGAGGAGCGAAAGCAUGGGUAGCAAACAGGAUUAGAUACCCUGGUAGUCCAUGCCGUAAACGCUGGGCACUAGGUGUGGGGCCUUUUCAACGGGUUCCGUGCCGCAGCUAACGCAUUAAGUGCCCCGCCUGGGGAGUACGG
RNAcentral lists this ribosomal RNA (639 nucleotides) under uncultured bacterium. RNAcentral describes it as "bacterial SSU rRNA". It matches the Rfam family "Bacterial small subunit ribosomal RNA", at positions 232 to 885 of the family's 1533-position model. The record is from RNAcentral.